UAUUUAAUUAAUUCUAUUAGUAAUUAUAUACUUAUUUUAAAGAUUAAAUUAUAUAUAUUUAAAUUUAAGUAAUUAAACUACGAAAUUACGAAUAAUUUAUUAAAUUAGUUAUAGUUUAUUUAAUAGUACCUUACUAUAUAGAUAACUAUAGUAAUUCUAGAGUUAAUAUAUAUUAAAAACCCUAAUUUCGGAAGGGGUAUAUUUAUUAAAUUAAAAACUAAUACCCUUCGGAACUAACUAGUAAUUUAUAAUAAUUUCUCGAAUUAUAUAACUUUAUACUAGCGAUAGUUUAUUUAAAUUUCUACUUUAUUAAUUUUCGACGGCUAGGUUUUAGUUAACUAUAAUAAUAAUAGGUAAUAGAGGGUUAGGGCUCGACCCCGGAGAAGGAGCUUAAGAAACGGCUACUAUAUUUAAGGAAGGUAGUAAGCGUAUAAAUUACUUAAUCUCGACAUAGGGAGGUAGUAAUAAUAAAUAUUAAUAUAGGGUUCUUUUGGGUUUUGUAAUUAGAAUAAAUAUAAUUUAAAUCCCUUAAUAAAGAAUAAUUGGAGGGUAAAUCUAGUAUUAGUAGCCGUAGUAAUUCUAAUUCUAAUAACGUAUAUUAAAAUUAUUAAAGUUAAAAAGUUCGUAGUUAAACCUUAGGCUUAGUCCGUCGGUCCGCCUUACUACAUACAUUAAUUGGGUCGGGCCUUUUUUCUUAGAGAACCGUAUACCCUUUACUAGGUAUAUUGGGGAAUUAGGACUUUUAUUAUAAAUAAAUUAAAUCGCUCAAAGAAGGCUUAUAUUCGAAUGUACUAGUAUAGAAUAAUAGAAUAGGACGUAUAGUUCUAUUUUAUUAGUUUCUAGGACCGCUAUAAUAAUUAAUAGGGAUAGUCGGGGGUAUUAGUAUUUAAUUGUUAGAGGUGAAAUUCUUGGAUUUAUUAAAGAUUAAUUAUUGUAAAAGUAUUUACUAAGGAUAUUUUUAUUAAUUAGGAAUAAAAGUUAGGGGAUCGAAGAUAAUUAGAUACUAUUAUAAUUUUAAUUAUAAAUUAUACUAAUUAAGGAUCGGACAAUAUUAUUUUUUAACCUAUUCGGCACUUUAUAAUAAAUUAAAAUAUUUAGGCUCUUGGGGGAGUAUAGUCGUAAGGUUAAAAUUUAAAAAAAUUGACGGAAGGGUACUACUAGGGGUAGAGCCUGCGGUUUAAUUUAAUUCAAUACAGGGAAAUUCACUAAGUCCAGAUAUAAUAAAGAUUAAUAGAUUGAGAGCUCUUUUUUAAUUUUGUAAGUAGUAGUAUAUAACCGUUCUUAGUUAAUAGAGUAAUUUAUCUAUUUAAUUAUAAUAAUAAAUGAAACUUUAAUUUACUAAAUAGCCUAUAUUAUUUUAGUAGUACAUUAGUUUUUUAGAGGGAUUAUCGGCUUAAGCCAAUAAAAAUUUAAAGUAAUAAUAGGUCUAUAAUACCCUUAAAUAUUCUAGGCUGUACGUACACUAUACUAAUAUAGCUAGCGAAUACUCCCUUAGCCGGAAGGUCCGAGUAAUUUUAUUAAAUUGUAUUAUACUAGGGAUAGAAUAUUAUAAUUAUUACUCUUCAAUAAGGAAUCCCUAGUAAAUAUAAAUUAUUAAUUUGUAUUAAUUACAUCCUUACUCUUUAUAUAUACCGCCCGUUAUUACUACUAAUUAAAUAGUUUAAUAAAACUUCCGGACUAACCUAAAGAAGUCGGUAAUAACUACCCAAGGCCGGAAAGCUAUUUAAACUCAAUUAUUUAAAGGAAGUAAAAAUCGUAAUAAGGUUUCCGUUAGUAAAUUAGCGGAAAGAUUAUUA
This is a ribosomal RNA of Neurospora crassa OR74A, 1796 nucleotides long. It matches the Rfam family "Eukaryotic small subunit ribosomal RNA". The record is from Rfam. Lineage: Eukaryota; Fungi; Ascomycota; Sordariomycetes; Sordariales; Sordariaceae.